UCCAGACUCCUACGGGAGGCAGCAGUGGGGAAUAUUGCACAAUGGGGGGAACCCUGAUGCAGCGACGCCGCGUGGGUGAAGGAGCGUUUCGGCGCGUAAAGCCCUAUCGGCAGGGAAGAAGGAGGACGGUACCUGACUAAGAAGCCCCGGCUAACUACGUGCCAGCAGCCGCGGUAAUACGUAGGGGGCAAGCGUUAUCCGGAUUUACUGGGUGUAAAGGGGGCGCAGACGGCAGCGCAAGCCAGGAGUGAAAGCCCGGGGCCCAACCCCGGGACUGCUCUUGGAACUGCGCGGCUGGAGUGCAGGAGGGGCAGGCGGAAUUCCUGGUGUAGCGGUGAAAUGCGUAGAUAUCAGGAGGAACACCGGUGGCGAAGGCGGCCUGCUGGACUGCGACUGACGUUGAGGCCCGAAAGCGUGGGGAGCAAACAGGAUUAGAUACCCCUGUA
This 446-nucleotide ribosomal RNA is filed under the name uncultured bacterium. Its description in RNAcentral is "partial 16S ribosomal RNA". It matches the Rfam family "Bacterial small subunit ribosomal RNA", at positions 330 to 792 of the family's 1533-position model. The record is from RNAcentral.